UUGGGGUCCUUUAAUGGACCAGAACCUGGUGGUCCGGAGUCGACGAUAAGAAAGUGAAAGAGAGAAAGAGGCCGAUAGCCCCUGGUUUACACAGAAAACCAAUAAAGCUCUUGACACAGAGCUUGCAUCGCUCAGGAAGGCACCAGGCGCCCCCUCGAGGAGGGGAAGGCACAGAGCGCCUUCUCGAGAGGGUCUUAGAAGCGCAGGCAGGAGAGUGAGCCGGAGGGGUCUCCACGCCCCAGAGAAUCAGCCAGAGAGAGAGAGAAACGAAGACGACACGGGGACCUAAGCGCUGAUGGAGCAAAGGUGCUCUGUGAUUUUCCUGUGAGUAUAUAUGGGCUGUGGUACAAGAAGUUCCUUACGACAGUGAUAAAGUUCAGAAAACCAAACGUACAGCAACCGUUACCAAGGGAACAAGGGGUAAUAAUGGUCACAAGGUCAGGAGACAGUCCAUAACUCAAGAAGGGGGAUGGAGACUAAGCAGUUUUGUCGUAAAGAGAAUGUUUACUGAAGGAGACCCAAGCCCGUCUCACACAGUGACCUCAGUUCCGGGGAGCAGCGUGCCGCUCCGCUUGAAAAGAAACAACGGACUUGAGAGAAACAGCACGUAGGAAUCCUCGGGUUAAACACUCCCCGACAAUUCCCCCUUAUUUAUUUAUAAUAUUUGUAAAAAGUGUUCUGACCAUUAAAGUUUGUUUAGUUUUAUCAAUCUUUGCAUGAAGGCAACAGUAGAUGACAAAUAUAAUUGUCAAGACAAUUACCAAAAUUACAGUUCCAGACCCGAUGCUGCAUGAAAUAGCUCUGGCCACCAAUCCAGGCAUCAAGCUAGGAUGAACAAAGGACUGGACAUCUGCUUUGCCCCUGACUGAUAUAAGAGCAACACCACCAAUCAGGCUUCCAGCAGCGGCUCAGCAGGCCCUCUCCUCGUCCCGGAAAGUGUGGCAGACGCAUUUCCGCACCUUCGUGCCCUUAAGCCUCGCACUGCCAACUCCUGCUGCCUUACUUCAGACUGUCGAGUCUCUUCAGAGCAAGAUCAGCCGUGUGUUCGGAGCAGACCUCUUUCCUCCGGUGGGAACUUGGUCCUGAGAGCGGUGGGACGCCGCGGGUGCCCGUCGUCCUUAUACACGGUCCGCCCUGGGUACCACCGCCAGCAUGCGGGACCCUGCGCGUGCGCCGGGCGCUUUCCCAGACGGAGCAUGCGUAGACGACUCCGCCGCUCGGCCGGGUGUUUGGGUACAGUUGGGGUGGUGGCUGGAUAGGCCCCCGCAGGACGGGGCUGGGGGCCGCGGAGGCUCAGCUCCCCACUUCUGGAAGCCAACCACUUGGUCCUUGGUCCUCUCAGCUCCCCAGCACAUUUAAAUAUGACAGCUGCAACCUGCCUGGUAUUGUCUUCUUGGUCCCGCGGUAGAACGUGUCUGCCGGCCUCCUUCGUCCUGACACAUCCCGGACGCCCUCUGAUGGCCACUGAGUUUUAUAUGUUUACCUUGCAUCCUGACUCAUUACUGAUUGUUUUCGAAAUUUGUUAUUUGUAUUCUUUAUUCUCCAGGAUUUCCAGGUAUACUACCAUCUCAUCUACAGAUGGACCUGAUUUUACUUCUUUCCCCAUUCUGAAGCCUCUAAUUAAUAUUUUAUAAUUAUAUCAGUGAAGACUGGCUGAAUUUCAAAUAGUGAUGGGAAUACUUUUCUUAUAAGGUGAUGACUUUAAGAGAUUAUAUUUUUCUUGAAUAUUUUUAAUUGAAGGAUAAUUAGUCUAUUCCAAGAUACUUCAAAGUCUAUAGAUUUAAUCCUAUGACAUUUAUUUUCAUAUCUAUUAAAAGGAUGAAUUGUAUUAACAAAUUCUGUGAUAUUUAACUAUCUGAAUCCUAGUAAUAUAUACUACUUUUUCUUCGUGUGUUUUCUUGAUGUACUGUUGGAUUCUGUUUGUUAAUAUUUCUUUAAGAUUUUUGCAAUGAUAAAAGAUGUUGGUUUGUAAUUGUCUUUCUUUUUACAAUUUUUAUUAGGUUGGUUAUCAAUAUUAUACUGGCUUUACUAAAA
This is a non-coding RNA of Odocoileus virginianus texanus, 2034 nucleotides long. Lineage: Eukaryota; Metazoa; Chordata; Mammalia; Artiodactyla; Cervidae. The record is from RefSeq and is a predicted model, not a curated record.